RNAcentral lists this ribosomal RNA (2908 nucleotides) under Salmonella enterica. RNAcentral describes it as "bacterial LSU rRNA". It matches the Rfam family "Bacterial large subunit ribosomal RNA". The record is from RNAcentral. Lineage: Bacteria; Pseudomonadati; Pseudomonadota; Gammaproteobacteria; Enterobacterales; Enterobacteriaceae.
GGUUAAGCGACUAAGCGUACACGGUGGAUGCCCUGGCAGUCAGAGGCGAUGAAGGGCGUGCUAAUCUGCGAUAAGCGCCGGUAAGGUGAUAUGAACCGUUAUAACCGGCGAUACCCGAAUGGGGAAACCCAGUGUGACUCGUCACACUAUCAUUAACUGAAUCCAUAGGUUAAUGAGGCGAACCGGGGGAACUGAAACAUCUAAGUACCCCGAGGAAAAGAAAUCAACCGAGAUUCCCCCAGUAGCGGCGAGCGAACGGGGAGGAGCCCAGAGCCUGAAUCAGCAUGUGUGUUAGUGGAAGCGUCUGGAAAGGCGCGCGAUACAGGGUGACAGCCCCGUACACAAAAGCGCAUGUGCUGUGAGCUCGAUGAGUAGGGCGGGACACGUGGUAUCCUGUCUGAAUAUGGGGGGACCAUCCUCCAAGGCUAAAUACUCCUGACUGACCGAUAGUGAACCAGUACCGUGAGGGAAAGGCGAAAAGAACCCCGGCGAGGGGAGUGAAAAAGAACCUGAAACCGUGUACGUACAAGCAGUGGGAGCACAGGUUUACCUGUGUGACUGCGUACCUUUUGUAUAAUGGGUCAGCGACUUAUAUUCUGUAGCAAGGUUAACCGAAUAGGGGAGCCGGAGGGAAACCGAGUCUUAAUUGGGCGUUAAGUUGCAGGGUAUAGACCCGAAACCCGGUGAUCUAGCCAUGGGCAGGUUGAAGGUUGGGUAACACUAACUGGAGGACCGAACCGACUAAUGUUGAAAAAUUAGCGGAUGACCUGUGGCUGGGGGUGAAAGGCCAAUCAAACCGGGAGAUAGCUGGUUCUCCCCGAAAGCUAUUUAGGUAGCGCCUCGUGAAUUCAUCUCCGGGGGUAGAGCACUGUUUCGGCUAGGGGGCCAUCCCGGCUUACCAACCCGAUGCAAACUGCGAAUACCGGAGAAUGUUAUCACGGGAGACACACGGCGGGUGCUAACGUCCGUCGUGAAGAGGGAAACAACCCAGACCGCCAGCUAAGGUCCCAAAGUCAUGGUUAAGUGGGAAACGAUGUGGGAAGGCCCAGACAGCCAGGAUGUUGGCUUAGAAGCAGCCAUCAUUUAAAGAAAGCGUAAUAGNUCACUGNUCGAGUCGGCCUGCGCGGAAGAUGUAACGGGGCUAAACCAUGCACCGAAGCUGCGGCAGCGACGCUUAUGCGUUGUUGGGUAGGGGAGCGUUCUGUAAGCCUGUGAAGGUGUSUCGUGAGGCAUGCUGGAGGUAUCAGAAGUGCGAAUGCUGACAUAAGUAACGAUAAAGCGGGUGAAAAGCCCGCUCGCCGGAAGACCAAGGGUUCCUGUCCAACGUUAAUCGGGGCAGGGUGAGUCGACCCCUAAGGCGAGGCCGAAAGGCGUAGUCGAUGGGAAACGGGUUAAUAUUCCCGUACUUGGUGUUACUGCGAAGGGGGGACGGAGAAGGCUAUGUUGGCCGGGCGACGGUUGUCCCGGUUUAAGCGUGUAGGUGUGUGUUCCAGGUAAAUCCGGUUCACUUUAACACUGAGGCGUGAUGACGAGGCACUACGGUGCUGAAGUAACAAAUGCCCUGCUUCCAGGAAAAGCCUCUAAGCAUCAGGUAACAUCAAAUCGUACCCCAAACCGACACAGGUGGUCAGGUAGAGAAUACCAAGGCGCUUGAGAGAACUCGGGUGAAGGAACUAGGCAAAAUGGUGCCGUAACUUCGGGAGAAGGCACGCUGACACGUAGGUGAAGUGAUUUACUCAUGGAGCUGAAGUCAGUCGAAGAUACCAGCUGGCUGCAACUGUUUAUUAAAAACACAGCACUGUGCAAACACGAAAGUGGACGUAUACGGUGUGACGCCUGCCCGGUGCCGGAAGGUUAAUUGAUGGGGUCAGCGCAAGCGAAGCUCCUGAUCGAAGCCCCGGUAAACGGCGGCCGUAACUAUAACGGUCCUAAGGUAGCGAAAUUCCUUGUCGGGUAAGUUCCGACCUGCACGAAUGGCGUAAUGAUGGCCAGGCUGUCUCCACCCGAGACUCAGUGAAAUUGAACUCGCUGUGAAGAUGCAGUGUACCCGCGGCAAGACGGAAAGACCCCGUGAACCUUUACUAUAGCUUGACACUGAACAUUGAGCCUUGAUGUGUAGGAUAGGUGGGAGGCUUUGAAGUGUGGACGCCAGUCUGCAUGGAGCCGACCUUGAAAUACCACCCUUUAAUGUUUGAUGUUCUAACGUGGACCCGUAAUCCGGGUUGCGGACAGUGUCUGGUGGGUAGUUUGACUGGGGCGGUCUCCUCCUAAAGAGUAACGGAGGAGCACGAAGGUUGGCUAAUCCUGGUCGGACAUCAGGAGGUUAGUGCAAUGGCAUAAGCCAGCUUGACUGCGAGCGUGACGGCGCGAGCAGGUGCGAAAGCAGGUCAUAGUGAUCCGGUGGUUCUGAAUGGAAGGGCCAUCGCUCAACGGAUAAAAGGUACUCCGGGGAUAACAGGCUGAUACCGCCCAAGAGUUCAUAUCGACGGCGGUGUUUGGCACCUCGAUGUCGGCUCAUCACAUCCUGGGGCUGAAGUAGGUCCCAAGGGUAUGGCUGUUCGCCAUUUAAAGUGGUACGCGAGCUGGGUUUAGAACGUCGUGAGACAGUUCGGUCCCUAUCUGCCGUGGGCGCUGGAGAACUGAGGGGGGCUGCUCCUAGUACGAGAGGACCGGAGUGGACGCAUCACUGGUGUUCGGGUUGUCAUGCCAAUGGCACUGCCCGGUAGCUAAAUGCGGAAGAGAUAAGUGCUGAAAGCAUCUAAGCACGAAACUUGCCCCGAGAUGAGUUCUCCCUGAGACUUUAAGUCUCCUGAAGGAACGUUGAAGACGACGACGUUGAUAGGCCGGGUGUGUAAGCGCAGCGAUGCGUUGAGCUAACCGGUACUAAUGAACCGUGAGGCUUAACCUU